Molecule: transfer RNA, 78 nt
Filed under: Tequintavirus BF23
Lineage: Duplodnaviria; Heunggongvirae; Uroviricota; Caudoviricetes; Demerecviridae
Also listed under: 4 other names
Description: Escherichia virus BF23 transfer RNA-His (GUG)
Rfam family: tRNA
About the family: Transfer RNA (tRNA) molecules are approximately 80 nucleotides in length. Their secondary structure includes four short double-helical elements and three loops (D, anti-codon, and T loops). Further hydrogen bonds mediate the characteristic L-shaped molecular structure. tRNAs have two regions of fundamental functional importance: the anti-codon, which is responsible for specific mRNA codon recognition, and the 3' end, to which the tRNAs corresponding amino acid is attached (by aminoacyl-tRNA synthetases). tRNAs cope with the degeneracy of the genetic code in two manners: having more than one tRNA (with a specific anti-codon) for a particular amino acid; and 'wobble' base-pairing, i.e. permitting non-standard base-pairing at the 3rd anti-codon position.
Source: RNAcentral
UGUGGCUAUAUCAUAAUUGGUUAAUGAUCCUGAUUGUGAAUCAGGCCUAUGUGGAUUCGAAUUCCACUAGCCACCCCA